GGCGGGUGCCUAUACAUGCAAGUCGAACGAACUCUGGUAUUGAUUGGUGCUUGCAUCAUGAUUUACAUUUGAGUGAGUGGCGAACUGGUGAGUAACACGUGGGAAACCUGCCCAGAAGCGGGGGAUAACACCUGGAAACAGAUGCUAAUACCGCAUAACAACUUGGACCGCAUGGUCCGAGUUUGAAAGAUGGCUUCGGCUAUCACUUUUGGAUGGUCCCGCGGCGUAUUAGCUAGAUGGUGGGGUAACGGCUCACCAUGGCAAUGAUACGUAGCCGACCUGAGAGGGUAAUCGGCCACAUUGGGACUGAGACACGGCCCAAACUCCUACGGGAGGCAGCAGUAGGGAAUCUUCCACAAUGGACGAAAGUCUGAUGGAGCAACGCCGCGUGAGUGAAGAAGGGUUUCGGCUCGUAAAACUCUGUUGUUAAAGAAGAACAUAUCUGAGAGUAACUGUUCAGGUAUUGACGGUAUUUAACCAGAAAGCCACGGCUAACUACGUGCCAGCAGCCGCGGUAAUACGUAGGUGGCAAGCGUUGUCCGGAUUUAUUGGGCGUAAAGCGAGCGCAGGCGGUUUUUUAAGUCUGAUGUGAAAGCCUUCGGCUCAACCGAAGAAGUGCAUCGGAAACUGGGAAACUUGAGUGCAGAAGAGGACAGUGGAACUCCAUGUGUAGCGGUGAAAUGCGUAGAUAUAUGGAAGAACACCAGUGGCGAAGGCGGCUGUCUGGUCUGUAACUGACGCUGAGGCUCGAAAGUAUGGGUAGCAAACAGGAUUAGAUACCCUGGUAGUCCAUACCGUAAACGAUGAAUGCUAAGUGUUGGAGGGUUUCCGCCCUUCAGUGCUGCAGCUAACGCAUUAAGCAUUCCGCCUGGGGAGUACGGCCGCAAGGCUGAAACUCAAAGGAAUUGACGGGGGCCCGCACAAGCGGUGGAGCAUGUGGUUUAAUUCGAAGCUACGCGAAGAACCUUACCAGGUCUUGACAUACUAUGCAAAUCUAAGAGAUUAGACGUUCCCUUCGGGGACAUGGAUACAGGUGGUGCAUGGUUGUCGUCAGCUCGUGUCGUGAGAUGUUGGGUUAAGUCCCGCAACGAGCGCAACCCUUAUUAUCAGUUGCCAGCAUUAAGUUGGGCACUCUGGUGAGACUGCCGGUGACAAACCGGAGGAAGGUGGGGAUGACGUCAAAUCAUCAUGCCCCUUAUGACCUGGGCUACACACGUGCUACAAUGGAUGGUACAACGAGUUGCGAACUCGCGAGAGUAAGCUAAUCUCUUAAAGCCAUUCUCAGUUCGGAUUGUAGGCUGCAACUCGCCUACAUGAAGUCGGAAUCGCUAGUAAUCGCGGAUCAGCAGCC
This 1351-nucleotide ribosomal RNA is filed under the name Lactiplantibacillus plantarum. RNAcentral describes it as "bacterial SSU rRNA". It matches the Rfam family "Bacterial small subunit ribosomal RNA", at positions 38 to 1357 of the family's 1533-position model. Lineage: Bacteria; Bacillati; Bacillota; Bacilli; Lactobacillales; Lactobacillaceae. The record is from RNAcentral.